GUUUAUCCAGCCAACAUCCAUCUCACCUCUCACUUUAUUGGUUUAACUGAUUGCAUCAUCAUGUCUCACACCUCUUGCAGGGAGAUCAGGGUCCUCCAGGGUUUCCAGGCCUUCCAGGCUCAGAGGGUGCAGAAGGGCAUCCUGGUCAUAGGGGUCCAUCUGGUCCUCCUGGGCCCCCAGGUCCCCGCGGAGGAAGCUUCAGCAUGGACUUUGAGGACUCGGAAGGAUCCGGGCUGCAGAGCGGUUCUGGAGCUAUGCUCUCCAGAGGCCCACAGGUACGAGGCUUUCUGCAUGUUUUACUUCUGUCCUAAUAUCCAUCAUCAGACGGUGUCAUCACAUCAUCAACUGCUAUUAUUAUUAUUACUACACAGGGUCCUGCAGGAAUCCCUGGACUUCAAGGCCCCAAGGGUAACGAUGGUUUAGACGGCUCCUCAGGAAAGCCGGGGCUAAAG
RNAcentral lists this long non-coding RNA (452 nucleotides) under Cottoperca gobio. Its description in RNAcentral is "lncRNA (ENSCGOG00000013740.1)". The record is from RNAcentral. Lineage: Eukaryota; Metazoa; Chordata; Actinopteri; Perciformes; Bovichtidae.